CCCUUAGAUGUUCUGGGCGGCCCGCGCACUACAAUGGCGUGUGCAGCGAGUGCCGAAGUAGAGUUUUCCGAGGUAUUCUUGCAAUGCUCGUUUUGAUGGGGAUAGACCCUUGCAACUGUUGGUUUUGAACGAGGAAUUCCUUGUAAGCAUGGUUUAUCAUCCGACGCUGAAUGCGUCCCUGCCCUUUGUACACACCGCCCGUCGCUACUACUGAUUGGGUGUUCAAGUGAGAUGCUUAGACCCUUGUUGCAUGGUUCAUUAUUGUGCUCCGAAAGGAAAAAGUUUCAAGCUUGAGUGUCUAGAGGAAGUAAAAGUCGUAACA
Molecule: ribosomal RNA, 322 nt
Filed under: uncultured eukaryote
Lineage: Eukaryota
Description: partial 18S ribosomal RNA
Rfam family: Eukaryotic small subunit ribosomal RNA
Source: RNAcentral